RNAcentral lists this ribosomal RNA (460 nucleotides) under uncultured bacterium. RNAcentral's name for it is "partial 16S ribosomal RNA". It matches the Rfam family "Bacterial small subunit ribosomal RNA", at positions 338 to 795 of the family's 1533-position model. The record is from RNAcentral.
CCUACGGGGGGCAGCAGUGAGGAAUAUUGGUCAAUGGGCGGGAGCCUGAACCAGCCAAGUCGCGUGAGGGAAGACGGUCCUAUGGAUUGUAAACCUCUUUAGGCGGGGAGCAAUGCCGGGCACGCGUGCCCGGAGGGAGAGUACCCGCAGAAUAAGCAUCGGCUAACUCCGUGCCAGCAGCCGCGGUAAUACGGAGGAUGCGAGCGUUAUCCGGAUUUAUGGGGUUAAAGGGGUGCGUAGGCGGAUUUUUAAGUCAGCGGUAAAUUGUCCGGGCUCAACCCGGGCCGGCCGUUGAAACUGGGGAUCUUGAGUGGGCGAGAGGUAUGCGGAAUGCGUGGUGUAGCGGUGAAAUGCGUAGAUAUCACGCAGAACUCCGAUUGCGAAGGCAGCAUACCGGCGCCCGACUGACGCUGAGGAACGAAAGCGUGGGGAUCGAACAGGAUUAGAUACCCUUGUAGUC